GAUGAACGCUGGCGGCGUGCCUAAUACAUGCAAGUCGAGCGAACAGAUGAGGAGCUUGCUCCUCUGACGUUAGCGGCGGACGGGUGAGUAACACGUGGAUAACCUACCUAUAAGACUGGGAUAACUUCGGGAAACCGGAGCUAAUACCGGAUAAUAUAUUGAACCGCAUGGUUCAAUAGUGAAAGACGGUUUUGCUGUCACUUAUAGAUGGAUCCGCGCCGCAUUAGCUAGUUGGUAAGGUAACGGCUUACCAAGGCAACGAUGCGUAGCCGACCUGAGAGGGUGAUCGGCCACACUGGAUCUGAGACACGGUCCAGACUCCUACGGGAGGCAGCAGUAGGGAAUCUUCCGCAAUGGGCGAAAGCCUGACGGAGCAACGCCGCGUGAGUGAUGAAGGUCUUCGGAUCGUAAAACUCUGUUAUUAGGGAAGAACAAAUGUGUAAGUAACUAUGCACGUCUUGACGGUACCUAAUCAGAAAGCCACGGCUAACUACGUG
Molecule: ribosomal RNA, 497 nt
Filed under: uncultured bacterium
Lineage: Bacteria
Description: partial 16S ribosomal RNA
Rfam family: Bacterial small subunit ribosomal RNA
Source: RNAcentral